This 560-nucleotide ribosomal RNA is filed under the name Bacillus sp. A11. Its description in RNAcentral is "bacterial SSU rRNA". It matches the Rfam family "Bacterial small subunit ribosomal RNA", at positions 368 to 918 of the family's 1533-position model. Lineage: Bacteria; Bacillati; Bacillota; Bacilli; Caryophanales; Bacillaceae. The record is from RNAcentral.
GRMSGYWKCUMGAAGUCUGACGGAGCACGCCGCGUGAGUGAUGAAGGAUUUCGGUUCGUAAAGCUCUGUUGUUAGGGAAGAACAAGUGCCGUUCAAAUAGGGCGGCACCUUGACGGUACCUAACCAGAAAGCCACGGCUAACUACGUGCCAGCAGCCGCGGUAAUACGUAGGUGGCAAGCGUUGUCCGGAAUUAUUGGGCGUAAAGCGCGCGCAGGCGGUCUUUUAAGUCUGAUGUGAAAGCCCACGGCUCAACCGUGGAGGGUCAUUGGAAACUGGGAGACUUGAGUACAGAAGAGGAGAGUGGAAUUCCACGUGUAGCGGUGAAAUGCGUAGAUAUGUGGAGGAACACCAGUGGCGAAGGCGACUCUCUGGUCUGUAACUGACGCUGAGGCGCGAAAGCGUGGGGAGCAAACAGGAUUAGAUACCCUGGUAGUCCACGCCGUAAACGAUGAGUGCUAGGUGUUAGGGGUUUCGAUGCCCUUAGUGCCGAAGUUAACACAUUAAGCACUCCGCCUGGGGAGUACGACCGCAAGGUUGAAACUCAAAKGAAUUGACGGGG